ACUCCUACGGGAGGCAGCAGUGGGGAAUAUUGCACAAUGGGCGCAAGCCUGAUGCAGCCAUGCCGCGUGUGUGAGAAGGCAGCUUCGGGUUGUAAAGCACUUUCAGUCGUGAGGAAGGUAGUGUAGUUAAUAGCUGCAUUAUUUGACGUUAGCGACAGAAGAAGCACCGGCUAACUCCGUGCCAGCAGCCGCGGUAAUACGGAGGGUGCGAGCGUUAAUCGGAAUUACUGGGCGUAAAGCGCAUGCAGGUGGUUUGUUAAGUCAGAUGUGAAAGCCCGGGGCUCAACCUCGGAAUUGCAUUUGAAACUGGCAGACUAGAGUACUGUAGAGGGGGGUAGAAUUUCAGGUGUAGCGGUGAAAUGCGUAGAGAUCUGAAGGAAUACCGGUGGCGAAGGCGGCCCCCUGGACAGAUACUGACACUCAGAUGCGAAAGCGUGGGAGCAAACAGGAUUAGAUACCCUGGUAGGUGA
Molecule: ribosomal RNA, 470 nt
Filed under: uncultured bacterium
Lineage: Bacteria
Description: bacterial SSU rRNA
Rfam family: Bacterial small subunit ribosomal RNA
Source: RNAcentral